AGUGAACGCUGGCGGCGUGCUUAACACAUGCAAGUCGAACGAGAACGGAAUAUAGCUUGCUAUAUUUGUCAGCUAAGUGGCGCACGGGUGAGUAAUGUAUAGAUAACCUGCCCUUAAGAAAGGAAUAACAGUUGGAAACGACUGCUAAUGCCCUAUAUGCCUUUAAUACAUAAGUAUGCAAGGGAAACGCUUUAGUGCUUAAGGAUGGGUCUGUAUGGUAUCAGCUUGUUGGUGAGGUAAUGGCUCACCAAGGCUAUGACGCCUAACUGGUUUGAGAGGAUGAUCAGUCACACUGGAACUGAGACACGGUCCAGACUCCUACGGGAGGCAGCAGUGGGGAAUAUUGCACAAUGGACGAAAGUCUGAUGCAGCAACGCCGCGUGGAGGAUGACACAUUUCGGUGCGUAAACUCCUUUUAUAUAGGAAGAUAAUGACGGUACUAUAUGAAUAAGCACCGGCUAACUCCGUGCCAGCCGCCGCGGUAA
This 485-nucleotide ribosomal RNA is filed under the name uncultured bacterium. RNAcentral describes it as "partial 16S ribosomal RNA". It matches the Rfam family "Bacterial small subunit ribosomal RNA", at positions 29 to 523 of the family's 1533-position model. The record is from RNAcentral.